GAGGUUGGGUGAGAAAGAGACGUGUUUCAUCAUUAUCAAGCAGGUACAAUAGCCCCAAGGGGGCAAGGCUGAAGAGGUUAGGAUGAGAAAAAAAUCGUAUAAAAGGAGCGAGAGAAAGCGACUGAAAGCAGUUGAGAGAGUACCACCGACACGGCAACAACUGCAGUGCUCCAUCUGUCACCAACUGCGUUCCUCAUCGUGUAACAUAUACGUAAUCACGGUUAACCAUGGAGUUGUGCUGCUGUUGGGUGUUGUAUCGUUGAUGGCUGGGUCGAAUACGAGGUUACCGAAUACCGAUGUCUCCUGAGUGGUGAAUAUCAAUUAUCAAGCAACAGCAGCCCAAGAAUAGUACACGACGUUGCCGCCUUAACACACAAUAACGUCAACAUACGCAACACCUAUCCUACUUACACUACUGAGCGUUAACUUGUUAAGUACUACACCACCAAGGCUCCAGAGUACUACACGAAAACUGACUACGCUGCUCUACCUUACUGUAAUGAUUCACCGAAGUACUAUUCUGAUCAUAGCGACUACACCGAAGAUGCAACUUACUACACCACCAAAGCAGUUGAGUACUACACCAAAGCGUCCAAGUACUACACUGCAACCUACUGCAGCGCACUAUUUGUCAUUAACUGCCUUCUUCGUCGUAUGCAAUCAGUUGGCAAUCAUUGGUAUGGCGGUGUGCUGCUGUUGGGUGUUGCAUCGUUGAUGGCUGGGUCGACCACUGGUGUAACAAUGUCCCCUGAGAAUGGUGGGUAGCAAACCGCAACACCGCCGCAUUACUACACAACAACCUACUUAAAGACCGAGGCCCUCAAUUACUACACCACUAAGGCAAAGGAUACUACACCGAGGCCCAUUAUUACUACAACACCGAAGCGCUCAAGUACUGCACUGCUACCCACACUGCCCGAGCAACUACACCGAAGCCAGAAGAGCCGAAGCCGAAGAGACCAAAUACUACACUGCAACCUACGCUGCCCCAGCUUACACCAGCAAGGCAGCGGAGUACUACACCAGCAAGGCAGCGGAGUACUACACCAGCAAGGCAGCGGAGUACUACACCAGCAAGGCAGCGGAGUACUACACC
This 1096-nucleotide long non-coding RNA is filed under the name Daphnia pulicaria. RNAcentral's name for it is "uncharacterized LOC124311673, transcript variant X1". The record is from RNAcentral. Lineage: Eukaryota; Metazoa; Arthropoda; Branchiopoda; Diplostraca; Daphniidae.